UACGGGAGGCAGCAGUGGGGAAUUUUGGACAAUGGGCGAAAGCCUGAUCCAGCAAUGCCGCGUGUGUGAAGAAGGCCUUCGGGUUGUAAAGCACUUUUGUCCGGAAAGAAAUCCUUGGCUCUAAUACAGUCGGGGGAUGACGGUACCGGAAGAAUAAGCACCGGCUAACUACGUGCCAGCAGCCGCGGUAAUACGUAGGGUGCGAGCGUUAAUCGGAAUUACUGGGCGUAAAGCGUGCGCAGGCGGUUUGCUAAGACCGAUGUGAAAUCCCCGGGCUCAACCUGGGAACUGCAUUGGUGACUGGCAGGCUAGAGUAUGGCAGAGGGGGGUAGAAUUCCACGUGUAGCAGUGAAAUGCGUAGAGAUGUGGAGGAAUACCGAUGGCGAAGGCAGCCCCCUGGGCCAAUACUGACGCUCAUGCACGAAAGCGUGGGGAGCAAACAGGAUUAGAUACCCUGGUAGUCCACGCCCUAAACGAUGUCAACUAGUUGUUGGGGAUUCAUUUCCUUAGUAACGUGGCUAACGCGUGAAGUUGACCGCCUGGGGAGUACGGUCGCAAGA
This 560-nucleotide ribosomal RNA is filed under the name uncultured bacterium. RNAcentral describes it as "bacterial SSU rRNA". It matches the Rfam family "Bacterial small subunit ribosomal RNA", at positions 340 to 893 of the family's 1533-position model. The record is from RNAcentral.